Molecule: small nuclear RNA, 108 nt
Organism: Lemur catta (Ring-tailed lemur)
Lineage: Eukaryota; Metazoa; Chordata; Mammalia; Primates; Lemuridae
Source: RefSeq, a predicted model, not a curated record
GUGCUUGCUUCAGCAGCAUAUAUACCAAAAUUGGAACGAAACAGAGAAGAUUAGCAUGGCCUAUGCGAAAUGGAUGACAUGCAAAUUCGUGAAGCGUUCCAUAUUAAA